AGGUCGUGCACCUCAGUGCCCCAAGAUGUCUGCUGGAUGUCUUUUUUUUUUUUUUUUUUUUUUUGGGUCUUUUUUUUGGAGCUGGGGACCGAACCCAGGGCCUUGCGCUUCCUAGGUAAGCGCUCUACCACUGAGCUAAAUCCCCAGCCCCUGUCUGCUGGAUGUCUUAAUUCUCAGUCAGCAAAGCCUCUCACCUGCUCUGCUCCAUCCCAUAUCACACUGCCCAAGGCCUCUCUCUGAGCCUGGCAGCAAUCUCUCUACCCAUCUAGUUCCUAAGGCAGGUUUCCAUGCCAGAAACACACAUCCCAACUCCGUGGUGGCCCAGACCAGCCACCACACACUCCCUUACACUUAAAUCUACACAUGAAAGAACACACAACUCAAUAACCUUUGGCCCAAUUGAUAAGAUAUAAUUGCCCACCUAAGCAUACAAAACCCAAUACACAUCCAUCCCUUAAAAACAUUUAUAAUAACCUGUAAAGAUACCGCGUGGAAUCUUAAUGUCACCCACCAUAUUGUCCUGCCAUGGCUUCUUUCCACGUCCAUCCUGUCUCUUCCUUCACACUUCUCUCCCACCCAUCCUUCCUU
RNAcentral lists this long non-coding RNA (588 nucleotides) under Rattus norvegicus (Norway rat). Its description in RNAcentral is "long non-coding RNA NONRATT022174". The record is from RNAcentral. Lineage: Eukaryota; Metazoa; Chordata; Mammalia; Rodentia; Muridae.